UCCAGAGCCUCCAGCCUUCUCAUUCAAAACCUCCAAAGCCUUUUCUCUUCUCCACUCACUUCCCCCCUCCACAUUCCUUCAUCUCAUCUCCCCCCCUUCUCUCCCUCUCCCUUGUAUACACACACACACACACACACACACACACGGAGGUCAGGAAGUAUCCACCAAAUGGAAGAAGGAGAAGAGGAAGGACAGGUGUAGAGGAAGGAGCUGGACAUGAAGGACCUCCAAUACAGUCAGUGACACUGAGCAGAAAGCUGAAGGAGGAUCUGAGGAAUGCUGGAGAAAGGCGGAUCUGCUGCUUCAGCGAUUUCACUAGACAGGAUGAGACCUUUAUGAGGAAGUGAUUAUUGUUUUUUGGUCAGCAGAAGCUCAGAGGUUACACUGCUGUCCCACUGACCACAAGGCGUGUGUUCAAAUCAACUGACACAGAGACACUGAGGAGUGAGAGGAAUAAAAGGUGUGUGUGUGUGUGUUCCUCUGAAGGUACUUCCUACGUCUCUCCGCCUGACUUCCCUCACCUCACCAUGCAGCGCUGACCCCGGCCAGACACCGUGUCUGUGAUGUAAAUGUCUGUGAACUUUCACACACAAGACAGCGCUGAUGAAAAGCAGAUACACUGCAGGAAAAAAAAGAUGAACUGGCGACUUAUCGACCUGCAUCUCUCUUUUUAUCGGUUCCUUUCUUCUACACUCCCUUCAUCUCCUCAUUCACCUGCAGCUCUGCAGGCUCUCGCUCCAC
Long non-coding RNA from Hemibagrus wyckioides, 741 nucleotides. RefSeq lists it as uncharacterized. The record is from RefSeq and is a predicted model, not a curated record. The transcript has 4 exons. Lineage: Eukaryota; Metazoa; Chordata; Actinopteri; Siluriformes; Bagridae.